CCGUGCUAGGCGGGGAGGUAGCGGUGUCCUGUACUCGCAAUCCGCUCUAGCGAGGCUGAAUCCCCGGUCGAGGGGCUUCCGCCUCUGGGGCCAGUGUGUCGGUCGUGGGUGUUGACGGUCAGGUCCCACGCGGUGGACGUUCGCGAACCAGGUCAGAUCCGGGAGGAAGCAGCCUUAAGCGGAGCCGUCCAUGCGCCGUGGGUAAGCCUGGCCAGAGUCUGAGACCGGCGGCACGCUCAGAGGUCGGCUUCGACGCCGGGUGCACGG
RNAcentral lists this signal recognition particle RNA (267 nucleotides) under Thermoleophilaceae bacterium. RNAcentral describes it as "signal recognition particle sRNA large type". It matches the Rfam family "Bacterial large signal recognition particle RNA". Rfam says of the family: The signal recognition particle (SRP) is a universally conserved ribonucleoprotein involved in the co-translational targeting of proteins to membranes. Lineage: Bacteria; Bacillati; Actinomycetota; Thermoleophilia; Thermoleophilales; Thermoleophilaceae. The record is from RNAcentral.